RNAcentral lists this unclassified non-coding RNA (261 nucleotides) under Hevea brasiliensis (rubber tree). The record is from RNAcentral. Lineage: Eukaryota; Viridiplantae; Streptophyta; Magnoliopsida; Malpighiales; Euphorbiaceae.
GUUGCAUCCUCAUACACAGUUCGGCUGCAAUAUUGAGGGGGACCAGUCUCCAGGUGACGCUGCCACGCUUGAUAGCUCAUAUUAGAGGUGGAAUGAUCCAUCAUUUGUUUCCACGUAGGGCCUCCAUCUUUCCUCUCAACAAGAUGCCACAAAUGAUCCAAAUCUUCAUCUGAUAUUGGUAAAGUAUUCAACCUUGAUGGACCACUGUCAAAUUGUUCAAUCUCUGAGCCAGCAUCCACAUAAGAAGCAAAACUAGGGGGA